UACAGAGGACUCAAGCGUUGUUCGGAUUCAUUGGGCGUAAAGGGUGCGUAGGUGGCGAGGUUAGUCAGGUGUGAAAUCUCGGGGCUCAACCCCGAAACUGCACUUGAUACUGCCUUGCUAGAGUACUGGAGAGGAGAUUGGAAUUUACGGUGUAGCAGUGAAAUGCGUAGAUAUCGUAAGGAAGACCAGUGGCGAAGGCGAAUCUCUGGACAGUUACUGACACUGAGGCACGAAGGCCAGGGGAGCAAACGGG
RNAcentral lists this ribosomal RNA (253 nucleotides) under uncultured bacterium. RNAcentral's name for it is "partial 16S ribosomal RNA". It matches the Rfam family "Bacterial small subunit ribosomal RNA", at positions 524 to 776 of the family's 1533-position model. The record is from RNAcentral.